RNAcentral lists this ribosomal RNA (492 nucleotides) under Harlomillsia oculata. RNAcentral's name for it is "partial large subunit ribosomal RNA". It matches the Rfam family "Bacterial large subunit ribosomal RNA", at positions 1826 to 2610 of the family's 2925-position model. The record is from RNAcentral. Lineage: Eukaryota; Metazoa; Arthropoda; Collembola; Entomobryomorpha; Oncopoduridae.
ACAUUUUUUUUUAGUUUAUGUAAAAAGUAUCCUCUGCCCACUGAUUUAUUAAAGGGCCGCAGAAUUUUAACUGUGGAAAGGUAGCAUAAUCAUUAGUUUCUUAAUUAGGAAAUGGUAUGAAUGAGGGAACAAAUAGUUUUAUUUUCUUUUUUAAAUUUUAUUGAAUUUGAAUUACAAGUUAAAAUUCUUGUUGUUAUUUUAGGGACGAUAAGACCCUGUAGAUCUUUAUCUUUUGGUUACUAUAUAUCUUUGGUGGUUUAUUUGUACAACUAUAAGGUUUUUAUGGGGCAUAAGCAGUAAAAUAUUAAUCUUCUGUCAUUGUCUUGAUUUUAAAGGUUUAAAAAAGUUACCUUAGGGAUAACAGCGUUAUUUUUCUUAAGAGUUCGUAUCAAUAGGAUAAUUUGCGACCUCGAUGUUGAAUUAAGUAAAUAGAAUGGGCAGAAUUUUUUUAUUAUGAGUCUGUUCGACUUUUAUUACUUACAUGAUUUGAGU